AGAAUGUGGUGUAAAGGGAGCACGGAGAAUUUUGAGUUCUUAAAUGUAGGUUCAAUUCCUAUUGUUCUAG
RNAcentral lists this transfer RNA (70 nucleotides) under Caenolestes fuliginosus (silky shrew opossum). RNAcentral describes it as "transfer RNA-Gln". It matches the Rfam family "tRNA". From Rfam's summary of the family: Transfer RNA (tRNA) molecules are approximately 80 nucleotides in length. Lineage: Eukaryota; Metazoa; Chordata; Mammalia; Paucituberculata; Caenolestidae. The record is from RNAcentral.